AUUUCAUAUUUUACAAUAGUUACUAGUUACGGUAAUUUUGUCAGUGUAUCUUACAACACAACGUUUAGUAUGUUGCUUUUAAACUGAGGAUUAUGACUUUGUUCCGGGGUUUGUUAAAGAGCUUAUUUUGGGGUAAUUGAUUGUCGGGUGCGAACCAAUUUUUUAAGUCAACAGUAUUUGUUGUUGUAGUUAAUUUUUUUUUUCAUUUAACAUGAUUAAGCAGUAUGAAGAAUCGGUGUCUUCGUCCAUCUUCGCUCCGUCUGGGUCAAAAUUCUCGGAAAAUAAUUUGAGAAAGAUCCGAGAAAGAUCCAACCAAAUUAGAUGAAGUGUCACUGUUAGGGUUUGAAGGAAUCCAUGUGAGGUGAUGACAUUCUGCAGGUUUCGAUGACGCCUGAUCGCGGAUUUCUCGUGCGAAAUCUUUACAGAACACCUUAUUAUCCGCCCAACAAGAGGAGGAAUGCGUUGCCUAAAAGGAUUUUUACCAUCAGAAACAUUGACUCUGAAUUCUGGGCAAAAUGACUACAUAUCAGCGAAAGCUUCUGGCUCUAUCAAUUACGUGACCAAACCCGUGUCAGCCAGUGUCAACACUAAAACACUAAAAUACUAAAAUACUGUCCGAUUACAAUCGUCCUCUGACGCGUUGUUUACACAUGCACAUUUUUGGCUGAUGACAACUAAAGGUCGGCAACCUUGAUUAGUAACGGAGAUCUUGGAUAAUAACUUCUACAUCCUUCCAGUUUCAUCUUCUCGAGGGCGAGCCGACAAAAAAAGAAAAAACCCGCAGGGCCAACGUCACGAGCUGAUGUAUCAUAAAAUGACAAACAUAUACGAACUGCUGUAUCGCGUACAAGUGCUCUAAAAUCGGAUGAACCGAAAAUUUAUGACUUCAUAAAACGUUGUACGUAGGGCCUCCUUCAGUACAGCCUGUUAGCAGGCUCUCUCUGAUUGAGCCCUCCAGAUGGAGCCUUUUACGUUCACAGGCUUACGUCAGUAGGGGGGUCCGUUAAACUUCGGAAGGCCUCCGUACUCUCGAAGCCAUCGUCAAUUGAGGACAUUGAGAAGGAUCGGAGAUCGGACAUGAAAUCAUGUUACGAAACUCGAAGGAGCGGCGGAAAAUGAGCCUAAGAUUAUCUCGUCAAUAUCAGACCUUCAAUUCUGUGUCAACAUAGGAGAGACUUCACAUGUAUUACAUGUGUAUAUUAUCAUAAAUAUUGACACGGUUACAGAACAGUCCGAAAAAGGCUAGUCGAACCAUGAGAAGGCUUUACAUGAUCCCCAAUGAGCAAGGGAUCUGGAGAAUCCCAGCUUGUGGUUUAAACACUGCACCCUGAGAGACCAACCUGAGAAUAUGAGUUCGGAUCUAUACUAAUCAGUGGUAGAUUUCACCGGAAGUCCAGCGCUUCGGAAACGAUCUAAAUGAUCCUUGGCAAGCUUUAAUGAUGAAUCAGGAAUUCAGAAGGGCAAAUUAAUGGUUUACGAUGGAGUGGUUAAAUUUGUUUCUGGUAUGUAAAAUGAGCAAAAAUGGCGAAAUUCAUUCAGGCGGGAAGCGUGGAAACCGCGUCACUAUUCGUGAUUUUUCAUGAGUUCUUACAGCUUCUUAUCGGUUUAGCGAUUCUAAACAUACACUUUUGAUACAUGUACCGUUAGCAAUUUUAAAAUUCUGACUUUCGCAAAAGUAAACGACCAGACUUUAAAACUCAAUGAAGUUAAAUUUCAUGCAAAAUAAAACUGCCAAAAAUAGCCUAGAAAGAAAAGGUUUGAAGAUGUGAACCAGGAAUAUUUUCACAAAGCAGAUAGGGUAGCAGAAAAUGCCAAAUGGCUAAAAUUGGUAACUGCAAAAAUAAUACUAAAAAAAGACUGCUGGCUGUUACGGUUGCCUGCGAUUCAAACGACAUGCAGUUCGUGGAGUCCCUGGCUGUAGCUUCUUCAGCAUGUCACAGCUGCUGAAAACCCGGCAGGUUUAAAACAUCACCAGGCGAAAGAAGACGAACGACGAACCGUCAAAUUAUCAAGGUCAUCCCUCGCUCAUCAUCCAAGAUUGAGCGAAAUAUCCUCUGUUUUUCCAGCUGUUCGAUAUUAUUGAUCAUAUUCAUACAAACUGCGAUAAAGCAUAGGUUAGGUCAGGAAGAGGAAAAAUGUAUUUUUUCCUGUUGAAUCAUCAUUGAGUUAAGUCUCUAGGCAGUGUUUGUAUUGUAUGUUGUAGUUUGAAAGCAGAUAUGAAUUAAUUAAGAACAAAUCGAUUCUGAUCCAGGAGCCGUACGCAAUCUGUUACAAUGGAUAAAAAUCAGAGAACUGUUGACAGAAACUGGUCUGUUAACCGUUCCCGCCCUCCCUGAGCGAAAGAGUAGAUAGGGCGGGAAGAUGAGAGACCCUGGAAACGAAGUUGGGAACCCCUCACCCGGGUAAGGAAGUCGGGGACCCCACAGUGGGAGUCAAAUAAUUUCUCCUUGAUCUGAUCGCAGUCUACUCAAUAUUCUGUUUUCUUUCCGUUGAAAAUCCCUGCCGAUUUUCAUAAAUUAUGUAUUUUUCGGGAUCUUUCAUUUUCAUACUUUGUCUGCUUUAAGAGUCGUUGCGGAGCUAUGAAUUUAUCAUGAGGUCCAAUAACAAACACUGAAAGUAAAAGUGUUUGUUAUCUGAUAUUUUAACGUUAUAUUAAAUUAUCGGCGAGGCUUUUGCUCAGUAAUCCAUGGUAACUGGCGAAUAAGCAAUCUAACUUCCACCGGCUGAGGGACACAAAUAACUAUUUUUGAAAAAUGAAUGGAUAUCAGUAAACAUUCAAUUUUCAAAAUAGCAACAUGACAGGCGAAAGGAAUUCUAUAGAAAUAGAGAAAUAUAUGCCUUUAUGAUAUAUAUAGCUAGUAAUAUGCGGUAAAGUUGAACUGAACACGUCUGUAUGCAAGCAGUCCAUGUAUGACCAUGUAUAGCCAAGACAUCAAAAUAGCGUGACCUCAAUGAGCAAGUGUGACUCGCCUAGCUUAAGUCACGCAUUCUCUGCAUUCUUGACAAUCAAAAUGAAUGUGGAUUCCUUUCGUGCACACUAUUGAUAUAAAUUCUUACAACUUUCUUAACAGUUUAGAAAAAGCUUAUUUCGUGACAGAGUGAAAGCUCAUUUGUACUAAAUUGCCUUCUAUUUGUUUUGAUCCGCGUAAUGUUCCCGGUAACAUGUUCCACACUUUGCAUACGAAGAAUGCUCCAUCGCCCAUCGCUAUUUUUUUUCGAUUGAAAGCCAAAGCAAUUAGGCUCAUUUGUAUGCAUGUAUGAGUGACAUGUUUGUAGUGAUUCUGUAAUGAAAAUAAAUUGACUUCAACUUGGA
Long non-coding RNA from Orbicella faveolata, 3313 nucleotides. The record is from RefSeq and is a predicted model, not a curated record. Lineage: Eukaryota; Metazoa; Cnidaria; Anthozoa; Scleractinia; Merulinidae.